Molecule: ribosomal RNA, 226 nt
Filed under: uncultured bacterium
Lineage: Bacteria
Description: partial 16S ribosomal RNA
Rfam family: Bacterial small subunit ribosomal RNA
Source: RNAcentral
GCGUUAAUCGGAAUUACUGGGCGUAAAGGGCGCGUAGGCGGUUAUAUAAGUUAGAUGUGAAAUCCCCGGGCUUAACCUGGGAAUGGCAUUUAAUACUGUAUGACUAGAGUAGAGUAGAGGGGAGUGGAAUUUCCGGUGUAGCGGUGAAAUGCGUAGAUAUCGGAAAGAACACCAGUGGCGAAGGCGGCUUCCUGGACUCAUACUGACGUUGAGGCGCGAAAGCGUG